UCAAGGUAAUUUUAAACCUAAACCCUAAAUUAUUCUCAUUCUGAUUCAUUUCUGCUCAUAACCCUAAUCUAGGGUUUAGGUUUAAAAUUAAUUCAGU
This 97-nucleotide microRNA precursor is filed under the name Glycine max (soybean). RNAcentral's name for it is "miR9751 stem-loop (gma-MIR9751)". The record is from miRBase by way of RNAcentral. Lineage: Eukaryota; Viridiplantae; Streptophyta; Magnoliopsida; Fabales; Fabaceae.